GAUGAACGCUGGCGGCGUGCCUAAUACAUGCAAGUCGAGCGAACAGACGAGGAGCUUGCUCCUCUGACGUUAGCGGCGGACGGGUGAGUAACACGUGGAUAACCUACCUAUAAGACUGGGAUAACUUCGGGAAACCGGAGCUAAUACCGGAUAAUAUAUUGAACCGCAUGGUUCAAUAGUGAAAGACGGUUUUGCUGUCACUUAUAGAUGGAUCCGCGCCGCAUUAGCUAGUUGGUAAGGUAACGGCUUACCAAGGCGACGAUGCGUAGCCGACCUGAGAGGGUGAGCGGCCACACUGGAACUGAGACACGGUCAAGACCCCUACGGGAGGCAGCAGUAGGGAAUCUUCCGCAAGGGGCGAAAGCCUGACGGAGCAACGCCGCGUGAGUGAUGAAGGUCUUCGGAUCGUAAAACUCUGUUAUUAGGGAAGAAAAAAUGUGUAAGUAACUAUGCACGUCUUGACGGUACCUAAUCAGAAAGCCACGGCUAACUACGUG
Molecule: ribosomal RNA, 497 nt
Filed under: uncultured bacterium
Lineage: Bacteria
Description: partial 16S ribosomal RNA
Rfam family: Bacterial small subunit ribosomal RNA
Source: RNAcentral